This 253-nucleotide ribosomal RNA is filed under the name uncultured bacterium. RNAcentral describes it as "partial 16S ribosomal RNA". It matches the Rfam family "Bacterial small subunit ribosomal RNA", at positions 524 to 776 of the family's 1533-position model. The record is from RNAcentral.
UACGUAGGGGGCAAGCGUUGUCCGGAAUCAUUGGGCGUAAAGAGCGUGUAGGCGGCCCGAUAAGUCCGCUGUGAAAGUCCAGGGCUCAACCCUGGGAUGCCGGUGGAUACUGUCGGACUAGAGUACAGAAGGGGCAACUGGAAUUCUCGGUGUAGCGGUGAAAUGCGUAGAUAUCGAGAGGAACACCUGCGGCGAAGGCGGGUUGCUGGGCUGAUACUGACGCUGAGGCGCGAAAGCCAGGGGAGCGAACGGG